Molecule: ribosomal RNA, 251 nt
Filed under: uncultured bacterium
Lineage: Bacteria
Description: partial 16S ribosomal RNA
Rfam family: Bacterial small subunit ribosomal RNA
Source: RNAcentral
GCAAGUCGAGGGGUAACAGAGGUAUCUUGCUACUUGCUGACGACCGGCGCACGGGUGCGUAACGCGUAUAGAAUCUGCCUCAUACUGAGGGAUAGCCUUUGGAAACGAAGAUUAAUACCUCAUAGUAUCAUUUAACGGCAUCGUUUAGUGAUUAAAGGUUACGGUAUGAGAGGAGUAUGCGGCCUAGUAGUGAGUGGGUAAGGGAACGGCUGACCAAGACUACGAUAGGUAGGGGGCCUGAGAGGGGGAGC